GACGAACGCUGGCGGCGUGCUUAACACAUGCAAGUCGAACGGAAAGGCCCUGCUUUUGUGGGGUGCUCGAGUGGCGAACGGGUGAGUAACACGCGAGUAAACUGCACUUGACUUUCGGAUAACUUCAGGAAACUGGGGCUAAUACCCGAUAGGAGCUCCUGCUGCAUGGUGUGGGUUGGAAAGUUUCGGCCGUUGGGGCUGGACUCGCGGCUUAUCCGCUUGUUGGGGGAGUAGUGGCUUACCAAGGCUUUGACGGGUAGCCUGCCUGAGAGGGUGACCAGCGACAUUGGGACUGAGAUACGGCCCAGACUCCUACGGGAGGCAGCAGGGGGAAAUAUUGCACAAUGGGGGGACGCGUGAUGCAGCAACGCCGCGUGCGGGAUAACGGCCUUCGGGUUGUAAACCGCUUUCGCCGGUGACGAAGAGUGAGUGACGGUAAUGGGUAAAGAAGCACCGGCUAACUACGUG
RNAcentral lists this ribosomal RNA (468 nucleotides) under uncultured bacterium. RNAcentral describes it as "partial 16S ribosomal RNA". It matches the Rfam family "Bacterial small subunit ribosomal RNA", at positions 28 to 507 of the family's 1533-position model. The record is from RNAcentral.